GAUGUUAGCGGCGGACGGGUGAGUAACACGUGGGUAACCUGCCUGUAAGACUGGGAUAACUCCGGGAAACCGGAGCUAAUACCGGAUAGUUCCUUGAACCGCAUGGUUCAAGGAUGAAAGACGGUUUCGGCUGUCACUUACAGAUGGACCCGCGGCGCAUUAGCUAGUUGGUGGGGUAAUGGCUCACCAAGGCGACGAUGCGUAGCCGACCUGAGAGGGUGAUCGGCCACACUGGGACUGAGACACGGCCCAGACUCCUACGGGAGGCAGCAGUAGGGAAUCUUCCGCAAUGGACGAAAGUCUGACGGAGCAACGCCGCGUGAGUGAUGAAGGUUUUCGGAUCGUAAAGCUCUGUUGUUAGGGAAGAACAAGUGCGAGAGUAACUGCUCGCACCUUGACGGUACCUAACCAGAAAGCCACGGCUAACUACGUGCCAGCAGCCGCGGUAAUACGUAGGUGGCAAGCGUUGUCCGGAAUUAUUGGGCGUAAAGGGCUCGCAGGCGGUUUCUUAAGUCUGAUGUGAAAGCCCCCGGCUCAACCGGGGAGGGUCAUUGGAAACUGGGAAACUUGAGUGCAGAAGAGGAGAGUGGAAUUCCACGUGUAGCGGUGAAAUGCGUAGAGAUGUGGAGGAACACCAGUGGCGAAGGCGACUCUCUGGUCUGUAACUGACG
RNAcentral lists this ribosomal RNA (671 nucleotides) under Bacillus sp. B61(2012). RNAcentral describes it as "bacterial SSU rRNA". It matches the Rfam family "Bacterial small subunit ribosomal RNA", at positions 88 to 745 of the family's 1533-position model. RNAcentral also lists the same sequence under 1 other name. Lineage: Bacteria; Bacillati; Bacillota; Bacilli; Caryophanales; Bacillaceae. The record is from RNAcentral.